UCAGCAAAGAGAUGCCAGUCCUGGUGGGGCACCUGUAAUCCUAGCUACUCGGGAGGCUAGGAUUUCAUAAGAAGAAACUGAAAGGACACCAAAAGGAGGCAGGCAGAGGCCAUGAGGCAGCAGGGGCCAUGGACCCCAGGAUUAGCAGAGGACACGAGUAGGCAGCAGUAGAGUGAGCAGAAAUAGUCGGCAAGGAUGGAGGCAGCUAGGGUAGCA
This 216-nucleotide long non-coding RNA is filed under the name Homo sapiens (human). RNAcentral describes it as "non-protein coding lnc-ALPK2-1:1". Lineage: Eukaryota; Metazoa; Chordata; Mammalia; Primates; Hominidae. The record is from RNAcentral.